Molecule: long non-coding RNA, 315 nt
Filed under: Homo sapiens (human)
Lineage: Eukaryota; Metazoa; Chordata; Mammalia; Primates; Hominidae
Description: non-protein coding lnc-GPR6-1:1
Source: RNAcentral
UUAAACUGGAGAUUAUUUGCAAGAUAUGAGUUACUAGCUUAUUAUACUGAAUUACAGUAUCCAAUUAGUGCUGUGUUUGUUUGUUUGUUUAUUUAUUUAUUUUUGUGAUGGAGUCUUGCUCUGUCACCCAGGCUAUCAUGCCACUGCACUCCAGCCUGGGCGACAGAGCGAGACUCCACCUCAAAAAAUAAAAUCAAGAUAACCUCUUGAAUGUAAUAGCUCAUAGCACUUUAAUUUGGCAAGCCAUUUUUCCUGUUUUAUUAUAAAUCUAUAUUAGAUGUUUGAAUAUGGUUUGAAAUAUUUCACUACCGUGCU